ACACAAAGAACCCGGGCUCGCCGAGCGCGCGCGCACACCCUCAUGCCGCGCGGCGAACGUUCGUUGCCAGGUGCGGCAGCCCGCCCUGGGCGCCUCCUGCCUGCGGAAGAAGAGCAGGACAGACCCGACCCGACCCGCCUAGUCCUUUCCUUCACAGCAGCCUCCAAACUCCACCGCUCGCCUCUUCCGCCAGGCUCCUAGGAUGAGGCCCAGGGCUCCUGGAGCAGCCAGGUGCAAACCAGACCGGGCUCGCACUCCACUGCGUUGCCCUGGGCGAUCGUCCACGUUCUGGGAGACUCGGUAUGCCCCGGGAGGGUGGCCUGAGCUUGUGGUGUGAAGCCAGGUACAGAGCUCCAGAAUCCUGGCCUUGCCAUGGCUGUGUGACCCUGGGCAAGUGACUCAAUUUCUCUGCCUCAGUGUCCUCAUCUAUAAAAUGGAAAGGAAAAUAGUAGCGCUUGUCUCCUCCGGCUGUUAUGAAGAUCCAAGGUUAACAGCGUAGAGAACUCGGAACGCACCCGGCAUCUAGGAAGUGCCAAGCCAGUGUCAGCUAAUGUGACUAUUUUUAAAUGGAGAUGGGGAGUGUGCCAUUAUUCUUGUCCUUAUUUGAAUGAACGGGCCCUCAGGGACCAUUUUCCACUGCCCCGCCCUGGCAGCAUGAGAGGGAAACGCUGUGAGAACCCCGAACCCCAGCCUUCUCCUGUCCCUCUCUCUCUCUCUCUCUCUCUGCACCUGGGAGGCGGGGAGGAGAGAGCCGAUCCUUCCACCAUUUACACGGAGAAUGAAAGAAGAAAUACCGGCCAGGCGCGGUGGCUCAUGCCUGUAAUCCCAGCACUUUGGGAGGCCGAGGGGGCAGAUCACCUGAGGUCAGGAGUUCGAGACCAGCCUGGCCAACAUGGCGAAACUCCGUCUCUACUAAAAGUACAAAAAUUAGCCUGGCGUGGUGCCGGGUGCCUAUAAUCCCAGCUACUCAGGAGGCUGAGGCAGGAGAAUCCCUUGAACCCGGGAGGCGGAGGUUGCAGUGAGCCGAGAUCACGCCACUGCACUCCAGCCUGGGUGACAAGAAUGAGUCUCAAAAAAACAAAAAAGAAGAAGAAGAAGAAAUACCACACAGGUCCGACCAAGAGCUGCCCCCACUCAGGCCAGGAUCCCUGCCUGGAAGGGCUCUGCAGCCACUCUCCCUGUACAGCCCCAGGAUGCUAAGGAGCAUCCCGAAGUGACACUGGCUCUCCCUGGAGGCCCCUGCCAUCGGACUCCAACCUGACCUUCCAGUGGGUGCUCCUCAUACUGGCUCCAGCCAAGACAGACGAGGACCACUGGGCACAUGCCCUUCCUUGCCUUCCUGUCACCCUUCCCACCCUUCUCUGCGGGCCCCGGGUGGCCCCUUCCUCCAGGAAGCACCUGGGGAUCAGCAGUGCCUCUAGGGUCCCAGUGGCCCACGUGACAUCUGCUUCUGGCCACCUGAGCACUCUCCUUUGAGUUCAGGGUCACUGUACCCUUUUAUAGAAAUUCGCCGGGUAUGGUGGUGCAUGCCUAUGGUCCCAGCUACUCAGGAGGCUGAGGCAGGAGGAUCACUUGAGCCCGGGAGGUGAAGGCUGCGGUAAGCUAUGACUACACCACUGCACUCCAGCCUAGGUGCGAGAGCAAGACCCUGUCUCCAAACAACAACAACAACAACAAAAUCUGAAUGCCUGGUUUAUCUUGAAAUAUGGCAAAAUGGGGCCACCCAGGCCCAUUAACCCCCUGUCUACAAUGUCCUGGAGCUGAGGGGCAUUAGCCACCCUCUCACAUGGGCUCCCCAGGGUGCCACAGCUCCCUCCUAGCUAGUUUGCUCUUUUCUGUCACCUACCGGCCCUUGCAGGGAGCUGAAUUUGAGACCCAUGAUGCACUUUGUGCACCCUGCCCCCUCAAAGAUAACUGUGAGUACCAAGGGAAAUGGAAAGCUUUGGCAACAAGAAGGGAGCUUCAAGGAAAGCCAGGCCGAGGUUCCCCUCAGAACCAUAGACUAGCCUGAAAUUCCACUGGGACUAAUUCUUCUCAUUUCAAGAAUGAAAAUCGAUUGCUGGACAGAGCUCCCGGAGGGCCAAUUUUCAGGCUGUAGUCUACAGCCGUCCACGUAGAGGCAGUGAACGAAAUUUUUCAAAGCCUACUUUAUGAUUACUUUCUUUAGCAGCUCUCAACAGUAAAAUAAAAUUGAUCUAGGACUUUGAACAAAACUUCUCGCCCCUUUCUAGGGAAGAGUUUGUCUCGUCUAUCAGGCCACCAACAAGAGUUGUUGCAAUGCCUGUGGGAGGUGCAGCCCACGCUGGGCCACCUGGCCAGCUCAGGGAUCCUGCUGGAGAUCGAGGAUUGUCUGGUCGGCCUCUUACAACUCUCAGAACAUCAUCCCUGGGAGCAGCCCUGAAGAGACCAAGGGUCAGUGGCGGGGCUGCUGAGUGGCUGCCUCCCUGACCUGGCCAGCAUUUCCUGGGCACACUGCAGUGUGUCCACGUCCCUGGGCCUCAGCUCCAGUGUCUCAUCCCCAG
This 2522-nucleotide long non-coding RNA is filed under the name Homo sapiens (human). RNAcentral's name for it is "non-protein coding lnc-GRIP2-1:9". The record is from RNAcentral. Lineage: Eukaryota; Metazoa; Chordata; Mammalia; Primates; Hominidae.